AGUAAAAUGGCCGAGUAUAGGCGAUAAAUUGUAAAUUUAUUCACGAAAUUUUUUUUCUUUUACUA
Molecule: transfer RNA, 65 nt
Filed under: Ochthebius paradoxus
Lineage: Eukaryota; Metazoa; Arthropoda; Insecta; Coleoptera; Hydraenidae
Description: tRNA-Tyr
Source: RNAcentral